This 76-nucleotide transfer RNA is filed under the name Felis catus (domestic cat). It matches the Rfam family "tRNA". Rfam says of the family: Transfer RNA (tRNA) molecules are approximately 80 nucleotides in length. Their secondary structure includes four short double-helical elements and three loops (D, anti-codon, and T loops). The record is from Rfam by way of RNAcentral. Lineage: Eukaryota; Metazoa; Chordata; Mammalia; Carnivora; Felidae.
GCCUGGGUGGCUCAGUCGGCUGAGCAUCUGACUUUAGCUCAGACCAUGAUCAUGAGUUCGAGCCCCAUGUCAGGCU